UAAGUACUCCCUCCGUUCCGAAUUACUUGUCGCAUGUAUGGAUGUAUCUAGAAAUACAUCUAGAUACAUCCAUACAUGCGACAAGUAAUUCGGAACGGAGGGAGUACAUA
Triticum aestivum (bread wheat) is the source of this 110-nucleotide non-coding RNA. The record is from Rfam. Lineage: Eukaryota; Viridiplantae; Streptophyta; Magnoliopsida; Poales; Poaceae.